Long non-coding RNA from Acanthochromis polyacanthus (spiny chromis), 2538 nucleotides. RefSeq lists it as uncharacterized. Lineage: Eukaryota; Metazoa; Chordata; Actinopteri; Pomacentridae. The record is from RefSeq and is a predicted model, not a curated record. The transcript has 3 exons.
CAAAAUCAAACCCAAAAUAAGGACAGAACUGUCCAGACUGCCAAACAUGUGAAGACUCAAAGGACUGUGACCUUAAACAGAAAGGUCGACUGGGAGGAUAGGAAGAAUGUCUAUGUUCAUUCAGUGACCCAACACCUGACUAAGAGUCCAGGAGCAAAUCAUGUAGAACCUGGUGUCUAACAGAGGGAUGGGGAACAACCUGACCUUUUCAAUAAUUCAGUAUUUCAGUAGUAUUUUAUCUAUUUUUCUCUUCCCUUUUGCUUAUCUCUCAACACUGAUAUUUAUUUUAAUGUUUUGCUGAUUGUUGAAUGUACUGAUGAUUGUCUGUCUUGCAAUGAGUUGCACUAUGAGAGGUGAGUAAAAUAUUUAAUUGAUUGAUUGAAAGCUGAGUGCUACAAGAAACGGUAGAGAACUACACUGAGAGAACUUUUUAUGGCAUUUUUCACUCUAAUGCAGUGCUUAGAUCACUGAUGUGAGUGCAGGGAUACAGGACAACACCUAAAGUCAACAUCAUGGUAAUUUAGUUUUUUGUAACCAUAAAUGGCAUUUGGGUUUUUCCAUCUAAAGUCACUGGGGGCCUUUUGCAUGUGCAUCUCCGAUUUGCUGAUAAAACUAUGGCUGUUUAAAGUGGUAUCUGUGAAACUUUACCUUAAAAUAUCAACUACUUUCUAUAUUUAAAAAGUUUCUUUCAAAAGUGCUGUUUGACCCACUUUCAGUAAGUUUUCUCUGGCAUUGAAAUUUGAGGCUGUGUUUGAACAAAUAAAUCUCAGGACUUUGUGUUUUGUGAAGGUGUGAUGUCUGAGCUGCUGAACCUGAUGAACCAUGUGGCCGAACAGACAACCGGCUCCAGUGGCACACAGUGGCAGCAUCCAUCUGACCUCACACGCAGAAAUUACCAAGAACGUUUUGGCAAUGCAGCACCAAGGAUGACUCUUCAGUACUGGCUGGCCAAGAAUUCUGCAACACACAAGCGCUUUGCCAAAGUGCCCAAUGUUUGGAGAGGACCCCAGUUUCCUUAAACCAACACUUGUAGAUGGACUGAAAAAUGCACUUGUGCAUAUGCAAAAAAAAAAAGUCCCAACAUUGUAAUUAUCCCUAUGCUUCAUUUAAAUGAUUGAACUUUUAUAUUUUGUUGUGGUGUUUGUUUUUCUUGUUUUGGUACUUUGAAUGUUGUUUUUUUGUUUGCCUUUCACCUAUGCUUGGACUUUAAAUAUAAAAUUUAAUGUUUGCACUGCUUUUUUUGUUAAUUUGAAUGCUGCUCUGAUUUUCCUUCAACUACGCUAUUACCUUUUAUAUAAAAGCUGAUGCAUGUUUUAAGAAUUUCGAUGUUGAUGGACUUUAAUGAAAAAAGACUGAAGUGUUUCAGGAGUCCAUAAUGACUUCAUUGAAUAAUUGUAACUGUGCCUUUAAUGAAGUGUGUUUUGUAGUCCCAUUAAUGCUUUUUCAACUUGAAUUCUACUUUUUUGAUGUUGUCAUGUUUGCUCUGCAUAUGAUCAGUGCAGUGACUUUCUCAUCUGGUCCUGUUGAUUAUUGCCUCUGGGGCUUAUAAUGAUCUCACAUCUGUUUCUGUAGAUGACAGUGACAGCAGCCAGCAGAAGUUAAAAAUAUCAAACUUGAACACAGUUAAUAGCCAUUUAGAAUACUUUGUAACAGUGGAUUGAUUGUGCUUCCUUGGAUGUAUUGUAAUGGUGUUUUUGUGGAGCAGUGAUUCCCAACCUUAACCUGAAAGCUGAGGCUACCCCACCAGAAAACAACACAUCAUGUUUUCUGGCAUUUCCCCAGACUUUUUCUGUCAUAGACUGCAACAAGGGCUAGAAUCUUGAAAAUGGCUAUAGAAACAGGAAGCCAGAUGGUUUUAGUUGUGAUGUGGGAGGGAUAGAACUUUCUCUGUAUUUGAGGACAAUCACUUGUGACCAAUCUGCAUCAUCUGGUGAAGUUUUCAUAUCCAUUUAUGUACUUAAACCGUAAGGUAGUGACCAAUGGCUCCACAAGGAUUAAGUGGAUGUUUUCUGAAUUAUGGCCUUGAAGCUCAAGCACAUCCUGACUAUAAUUUGCUGCCUUAUUCAGUGUUUUCUUUCUAAAGUUCUAAAAAAGCUGUUCUCAACAGCCAAUGCGCUGAUUUGUGAGUGAGUUACUUAUGAUGUAAGUUUUUACCCCAGAUUUCAUAUAGUUUUUUAUGAACCUUCAGUUGAAUGUAGGUGAUAAAUCUGCAAACCGUUCACACCUUCUCAUUAAUAUAUAAAUGAAAACUGAUGUCGGAGGUGAUUGUGUUGUUGCAUUACAUUUAUGAGGAUUGCUCUCAUUGUCAACUUUGACAUUUUGUUUCUGUUUAGACUUAAAAAUUAAUAAAGUUGACAUUUCUGUGAAGAAUAAAGUAGUUUCAAAUAGUUAAACUGUAAACGCUUUGCCUCAACAGCUUCAAGUUGUGACACUGUUAUUUUAUUGUAUUGUCUUUGUCAGAAUUCAGGAAGAUUUCUGCAAAUCCCUGGACGUUUUUCAGGUGGUUGUUGCUGACAAUAAUAAAGUUACACAAGUUUA